RNAcentral lists this ribosomal RNA (271 nucleotides) under uncultured soil bacterium. RNAcentral describes it as "partial 16S ribosomal RNA". It matches the Rfam family "Bacterial small subunit ribosomal RNA", at positions 26 to 291 of the family's 1533-position model. The record is from RNAcentral.
AGAAUCAACGCUGGCGGCGUGCCUCAGACAUGCAAGUCGAACGAUUAAAGCUCUCUUCGGAGAGUGCAUAGAGUGGCGCACGGGUGAGUAACACGUAAGUAAUCUACCCUCGAGUGGGGAAUAACAUCGGGAAACCGAUGCUAAUACCGCAUAAUGCAGCGGACACCGCAAGGUGACUAGUUAGUUAAAGAUUUAUCGCUUGAGGAGAGCUUGGCGCAGUAUAGCUAGUGGUAAGGUAUGGCUAACCGAGCUACGAUCGUAGUUAACCGGU